UACGUAGGGGGCAGGCGUUGUCCGGAUUCAUUGGGCGUAAAGAGCUCGUAGGCGGCUCGGCAAGUCGGGUGUGAAACCUCCAGGCUCAACCUGGAGACGCCACUCGAUACUGCUGUGGCUAGAGUCCAGUAGGGGAGCGUGGAAUUCCUGGUGUAGCGGUGAAAUGCGCAGAUAUCAGGAGGAACACCAGCGGCGAAGGCGGCGCUCUGGGCUGGAACUGACGCUGAGGAGCGAAAGCGUGGGGAGCAAACAGG
Molecule: ribosomal RNA, 254 nt
Filed under: uncultured bacterium
Lineage: Bacteria
Description: partial 16S ribosomal RNA
Rfam family: Bacterial small subunit ribosomal RNA
Source: RNAcentral